RNAcentral lists this ribosomal RNA (504 nucleotides) under uncultured Lachnospiraceae bacterium. Its description in RNAcentral is "partial 16S ribosomal RNA". Lineage: Bacteria; Bacillati; Bacillota; Clostridia; Lachnospirales; Lachnospiraceae. The record is from RNAcentral.
CACGUAGUUAGCCGGGGCUUCUUAGUCAGGUACCGUCUGGCGACCCAAAGGUCGCUAUUUCUUCCCUGCUGAUAGGGCUUUACAUACCGAAAUACUUCUUCACUCACGCGGCGUCGCUGCAUCAGGGUUUCCCCCAUUGUGCAAUAUUCCCCACUGCUGCCUCCCGUAGGAGUUUGGGCCGUGUCUCAGUCCCAAUGUGGCCGUUCACCCUCUCAGGCCGGCUACUGAUCGUCGCCUUGGUGAGCCAUUACCCCGCCAACAAGCUAAUCAGACGCGGAACCAUCGUAUACCACCAGAGUUUUUCACACCACUUCAUGCGAAGCUGUGCGCUUAUGCGGUAUUAGCACCUAUUUCUAAGUGUUAUCCCCCAGUAUACGGCAGGUUUUCCACGCGUUACUCACCCGUCCGCCACUAACUCAUAAAUCACUAGGUUUCAAUAUGAGUCCGUUCGACUUGCAUGUGUUAAGCACGCCGCCAGCGUUCAUCCUGAGCCAGGAUCAAACU